CCUACGGGAGGCAGCAGUGGGGAAUAUUGGACAAUGGGGGGAACCCUGAUCCAGCGACGCCGCGUGAGUGAAGAAGUAUCUCGGUAUGUAAAGCUCUAUCAGCAGGGAAGAAAGAAAUGACGGUACCUGACUAAGAAGCCCCGGCUAACUACGUGCCAGCAGCCGCGGUAAGACGUAGGGGGCAAGCGUUAUCCGGAUUUACGGGGUGUAAAGGGAGCGUAGACGGCAGCGCAAGUCUGGAGUGAAAUGCCGGGGCCCAACCCCGGAACUGCUCUGGAAACUGUGAAGCUGGAGUGCAGGAGAGGUAAGCGGAAUUCCUGGUGUAGCGGUGAAAUGCGUAGAUAUCAGGAGGAACACCGGCGGCGAAGGCGGCUUACUGGACUGUAACUGACGUUGAGGCUCGAAGGCGUGGGGAGCAAACAGGAUUAGAUACCCUAGUAGUC
RNAcentral lists this ribosomal RNA (443 nucleotides) under uncultured bacterium. RNAcentral's name for it is "partial 16S ribosomal RNA". It matches the Rfam family "Bacterial small subunit ribosomal RNA", at positions 338 to 795 of the family's 1533-position model. The record is from RNAcentral.